AGAUAAUGUACUCUAUAUGACUUCAGUUCUUUAAAAUUGUUGAAGUUUGUUUUACGGCCCGAGGAUGAUCUGUAUUCUUAAUGCACCUGUUUCAAUUUAUCUGAAUCCCUUCCGUGCUAAUUUGCAAUGUAAGGCUAGGAAAUUGCUCCUCAUCAUCUCCAUUUUACUUCUGUAGCUACAGAGAGCCAAGGUCUCAAAAAGAAUAUCAAGUUUCCUUGGCUCUGUUCUACAGUGGUUUUCAAGUCACAGAUUAAUUUCUUAGUUGCAUUUCAUGUAGUUGUCUUUAGGUGGCAGCAAAACAUGACAAAAGGAGAACUAGCCCCUUCUUCCUCAACCCACUACGUAAAAAAAAAAAAAAAAAUGAAAGUAAAAGAAAUGGGUGUAUUUCUGCUGCCUUGAAAGCUGGGAUACUCCCUUGAACAAUGUCUUUUUAAUAUAUCUGCCAAUUUGAGAGAAGAAAAAAGAUUAUUAUUUUUUAAGUGGCCUUUAAAACUUGUUAGGUUGAAUUUACAUUUGUGUGUUUUUAUUGGAUGCUUUCCCCCUUUAAUUUAUCUUUUCAUUUUAAUCGUUCAUUUUCCUGUUGAGAGUUUUGAAGGACAACUUAAGGCUUUUUCCUUUUUAUCAUUACAAAAAUAAUUCAACUCAUUAAAGAAAAGUAAAAAAUGUCAUAAAGGAGAAAAAUGCAAGUUACAUGUUACCACUAAUAGCAUUUUGAUACACUUUGCCUGUUCCUAUGUUGGUGUUUUGGUGGUGUGCUUUGGAUUUAAAAUUAUAUUCUUGUCCAGUUUUGCUUCCUAAUUUUUAAAAAAAUAUUGUAUUUAGUUGUUGAUAGACCUUUAUUUUAUUUAUUUAUAUAUGGUGUUGAGAAUUGAACCCAGUGCCUCACACAUGCCAGGGAAAUGUGCUAGCACAGAGCCACAGCCCCAACCCCACUUACUAAUUUUUAAGUAAAAUUAAUAUUGUGAUCCUUUUUAUGUUACUAAACUUUUUUGAAUAUUCUUUACAAUAAUUUCAUUAAAAUUUAAAAAAUAAUAUACAACUAAUCUUUUUGUACAUUAUUGUUAAUUUUUAUAUUUAUUGCUCCAGAUUAAAUUUGAAUAUAUGUCAACUCCUUCCCCAUCUAGAAUUUUUGAAAUUCGGGUUGAUUGAAAUCUAUAUAAUAAUUUGGGAAUAAGAGAUGAAGCAACAAUUAAAGACAGGCAGUCAGUGUAGAUAGAUAAUAGGAUAGGAUUUUGAAAAUGAAGGCAGGUUUAGGUGUGGGAAGUUAAAGAGAACCACCUCUGGGAGAUUGUUAAUACCUCCAGAGCCCUUCCUCCACUCAUACCAAGAUAGUCUGCCCCUGCUCCAACCUGUUGCUAAGGUAACCCGUCCCAGGAAUUGUUCCUCCAAAAGGUGUAAAUUAAUGCCUCCUGGGCUGUUGCUCUCUUCCUGCCCAUCUGCUUCUCACCUUUUGGCCAUCCCAAGGGCAUCUCCUUGGCCUAGUCUGGUAUAGGGAUGGGGAAAGGAAGUAGCCAGAUGAGGAGGGAAGAGGGCAGGAGAACAAAAAAAAA
This 1550-nucleotide long non-coding RNA is filed under the name Marmota monax (woodchuck). The record is from RNAcentral. Lineage: Eukaryota; Metazoa; Chordata; Mammalia; Rodentia; Sciuridae.